UACGUAGGGCGCAAGCGUUUGUCCGGAAUCACUGGGCGUAAAGGGCGCGUAGGCGGCUCAUGAAGGCUGUGGUGAAAGUCCGGGGCUCAACCUCGGAUCGGCCGUGGCGACUCGUGGGCUGGAGCACUGUAGAGGCGGGUGGAAUUCCGGGUGUAGCGGUGGAAUGCGUAGAGAUCCGGAAGAACACCAGUGGCGAAGGCGGCCCGCUGGGCAGUGGCUGACGCUGAGGCGCGACAGCGUGGGGGAGCAAACAGG
This 255-nucleotide ribosomal RNA is filed under the name uncultured bacterium. RNAcentral's name for it is "partial 16S ribosomal RNA". It matches the Rfam family "Bacterial small subunit ribosomal RNA", at positions 524 to 776 of the family's 1533-position model. The record is from RNAcentral.